CGGAGUGGCCAUGUUACACCCUCAGGGCUGGGCCUCUUGCCUGCCAAAACCAUCACCACUGUCCUGAGAUGCGUUGGAGGUACCAGAUCUGGUCUCUGAGCUUCCCUGCAUAAACCUGGAGUGGAAUGUCUCCUGCCUGCCAGCAAUGCCAGCCGAACGUGCCUGCUCCUCAAGCUGGCUCUGGAGGAUCCGAUGCCAGCCACGGCCCACGUGUGAGGGAAAGGUUCGCAGCCACUCCUAUAGAGGGGGGCAUUAAGAUCAACGUUGAGCAGAAACCUGCCGUGGUGCUUUGGCAGGACUUUACAGCCCUGCUGCGCAGGUGCAAAUGGCUGCUCUGCCGGGGAGCGUCCUGAGGAUGCAAACCCUCUGUUCCCCAGCCAAGGUGAGCACCACUGCAGCCCCUGGAGAUGCGAGCUGGAAGAGCUGCUCCACACGUGACCUCCUUUCAUCACCCUUUCGUGGCCAUCUCAGGAAGCUCACUGCUGCGCUGAGGCUGUAUUUUGAAGAUGCUGACAUCUGUAAAUGACUCAUGGCAACUGAGACAGUCUGGUUGAGGGCAAAGCUGGCACUUCCUACCCACGGGCCUUUCUGACUGUCCACAAAACUGCAUUGCUACAGAGAAAAUAUCGCUUACUUCUGAAAAACACCUAAAAAUCAAAGCUGGAUUUGAUCUGACCUCACAUGUAGUUUCUAGACAUCUGAAAUGGUACUAUUUGAUGACUACUGUGAAUCCUGCCCAGCUCCAGAGGAACUGCAGCUGCUCUAUGGCAAGGCACAGACGAUGGGCAGAGGAGGAUGUGUCCCUGCCUCACCACCAGGCACAAGACAGCAGCCUGGCUGUCGGCAUCACCACCUGCAGCUGCCACACAGCUGUGUCUCACCCCCAGGUGGGCUGGGGUGAUGGUGCACCUCCUCCUCCUCCCACCCAGCAUCCCUCUCCACAGGGUGGGCAAGGGGAGCUCCGUUGACUUUCUGCCAUAACAGAGGCAGGAGGCUGGAGCAAGUCCCUGCUUUGGGAAGGGGCCACAGGUCAGGUCCUACAGCUGCUGUAAAUAGUUGCUGCACUAUUUAAUUCAAUGCAGCCUUUAUUUACAUCAGCUGAUCUGGCCCCACUUCUCCUGUUUUCCUGUGCUUGUUUCCUUUAAGAUAUAUAUUUUAUAGCCUUGUAAAACACCACUGUAUAUUCCUGUAUAAACUAGUAAAG
Long non-coding RNA from Cyanistes caeruleus (blue tit), 1204 nucleotides. RefSeq lists it as uncharacterized. The record is from RefSeq and is a predicted model, not a curated record. NCBI's taxonomy places the organism in Eukaryota, Metazoa, Chordata, Aves, Passeriformes, Paridae.